UACGUAGGUGGCAAGCGUUGUCCGGAUUUAUUGGGCGUAAAGCGAGCGCAGGCGGUUUCUUAAGUCUGAUGUGAAAGCCCCCGGCUCAACCGGGGAGGGUCAUUGGAAACUGGGAGACUUGAGUGCAGAAGAGGAGAGUGGAAUUCCAUGUGUAGCGGUGAAAUGCGUAGAUAUAUGGAGGAACACCAGUGGCGAAGGCGGCUCUCUGGUCUGUAACUGACGCUGAGGCUCGAAAGCGUGGGGAGCAAACAGGAUU
RNAcentral lists this ribosomal RNA (256 nucleotides) under uncultured Enterococcaceae bacterium. RNAcentral describes it as "partial 16S ribosomal RNA". It matches the Rfam family "Bacterial small subunit ribosomal RNA", at positions 524 to 779 of the family's 1533-position model. Lineage: Bacteria; Bacillati; Bacillota; Bacilli; Lactobacillales; Enterococcaceae. The record is from RNAcentral.